UCGGGAGUAAAGUUUUGUUUAAACCGAAAAAAUAUUGACUGACUUUAGAUUUUUCUUUGGAAUAUGUGUUUUUUUGGAGAGCCCUCUUUUAUAGUGAAUUUUGUUGGCGCAUGUAUGAUUGUUUAGUUUUUACUUUUUUGGUAAUGCUUUGUGUUUUAUACAUUUAAAACAGAUAUAUAUUUGGCUUAUGGAUUUAUUUUUCAUGUGUUACUAUUGUUAAUUUUCUUUGGAUUAAUUUUUAAUUUUUUUGUUGAAAUUGGAAAAGAAAGUAAUUUUUUCUUAAU
RNAcentral lists this ribosomal RNA (284 nucleotides) under Dirofilaria immitis (dog heartworm nematode). Its description in RNAcentral is "partial small subunit ribosomal RNA". Lineage: Eukaryota; Metazoa; Nematoda; Chromadorea; Rhabditida; Onchocercidae. The record is from RNAcentral.